Molecule: ribosomal RNA, 378 nt
Filed under: uncultured cyanobacterium
Lineage: Bacteria; Bacillati; Cyanobacteriota
Description: bacterial SSU rRNA
Rfam family: Bacterial small subunit ribosomal RNA
Source: RNAcentral
CGCCAGCCUGACGGAGCCAGACCGCGUGGGGGAGGAAGGCCCUUGGGUUGUAAACCCCUUUUCUCAGGGAAGAAACCUGACGGUACCUGAGGAAAAAGCCUCGGCUAACUCCGUGCCAGCAGCCGCGGUAAUACGGAGGAGGCAAGCGUUAUCCGGAAUUAUUGGGCGUAAAGCGUCCGUAGGCGGUUUAUCAAGUCUGUCGUUAAAGACUGCAGCUUAACUGUGGGCGAGCGAUGGAAACUGAGGAACUGGAGUACGGUAGGGGUAGAGGGAAUUCCCAGUGUAGCGGUGAAAUGCGUAGAGAUUGGGAAGAACACCGGUGGCGAAAGCGCUCUACUGGGUCGCACCUGACCCUCAGGGACGAAAGCUAAGGUAGCG